This 400-nucleotide ribosomal RNA is filed under the name Guapinannus sp. Nicaragua 6083. RNAcentral describes it as "eukaryotic LSU rRNA". It matches the Rfam family "Eukaryotic large subunit ribosomal RNA", at positions 723 to 1097 of the family's 3401-position model. The record is from RNAcentral. Lineage: Eukaryota; Metazoa; Arthropoda; Insecta; Hemiptera; Schizopteridae.
AAGUAAAGAAAGCUUUGCUUUAUUAGGGAGGAUGGUUAUAAUAUAACCCGCACUCCUGGGGCGUCUAUUACUCAUUGCGAGUAAAGGCGCACCAAGAGCGUACACGUUGGGACCCGAAAGAUGGUGAACUAUGCUUGGCCAGGAUGAAGCCAGGGGAAACUCUGGUGGAGGUCCGUAGCGAUUCUGACGUGCAAAUCGAUCGUCAGAGCUAAGUAUAGGGGCGAAAGACUAAUCGAAGCAUCUAGUAGCUGGUUCCCUCUGAAGUUUCCCUCAGGAUAGCUGGUGCCAAUGAUGAGACGAGUCUCAUCCGGUAAAGCGAAUGAUUAGAGGCCUUGGGGCCGAAACGACCUCAACCUAUUCUCAAACUUUAAAUGGAUGAGAGCCUUGGCUUGCUUAAAAA